This 348-nucleotide unclassified non-coding RNA is filed under the name soil metagenome. Its description in RNAcentral is "partial contains 5.8S ribosomal RNA, internal transcribed spacer 2, and large subunit ribosomal RNA". The stretch from base 3 to 120 matches the Rfam family "5.8S ribosomal RNA", at positions 37 to 154 of the family's 154-position model. The record is from RNAcentral.
GCUGAAGAACGCAGCGAAAUGCGAUAAGUAAUGUGAAUUGCAGAAUUCAGUGAAUCAUCGAAUCUUUGAACGCACAUUGCGCCCGCCAGUAUUCUGGCGGGCAUGCCUGUCUGAGCGUCAUUUCAACCCUCAGGCCCCUAGGGCGUGGUGUUGGGGAUCGGCCAAAGCCCGCGAGGGACGGCCGGCCCCUAAAUCUAGUGGCGGACCCGUCGUGGCCUCCUCUGCGAAGUAGUGAUAUUCCGCAUCGGAGAGCGAUGAGCCCCUGCCGUUAAACCCCCAACUUUCCAAGGUUGACCUCAGAUCAGGUAGGAAUACCCGCUGAACUUAAGCAUAUCAAUAAGCGGAGGA